Molecule: unclassified non-coding RNA, 204 nt
Filed under: uncultured Ascomycota
Lineage: Eukaryota; Fungi; Ascomycota
Description: sequence contains ITS1
Source: RNAcentral
AGCUUCCGCCCUGCCCGUCAGUCGGUAAGGUCAGGAACAGCAGGCCGCUGAAAAUCGCCAUCAGAAUAAAGUUCACCAGCGUGACACGAGUUCCGCCCAGACGGUCAGAUAAUGCACCACCUGCAGAACGCGCCAGCGCACCAAUAAACGGCCCGAAGAAAGCGUAUUGCAGAAUCUGAACAUCCGGGAACUGCGUUUUUGACA